RNAcentral lists this ribosomal RNA (433 nucleotides) under uncultured bacterium. RNAcentral's name for it is "partial 16S ribosomal RNA". It matches the Rfam family "Bacterial small subunit ribosomal RNA", at positions 29 to 507 of the family's 1533-position model. The record is from RNAcentral.
AGCGAACGCUGGCGGCAGGCCUAACACAUGCAAGUCGAACGAACUCUUCGGAGUUAGUGGCGGACGGGUGAGUAACACGUGGGAACGUGCCUUUUGGUUCGGAAUAACUCAGGGAAACUUGUGCUAAUACCGAAUGUGCCCUUCGGGGGAAAGAUUUAUCGCCAUUAGAGCGGCCCGCGUCUGAUUAGCUAGUUGGUGAGGUAACGGCUCACCAAGGCGACGAUCAGUAGCUGGUCUGAGAGGAUGACCAGCCACACUGGGACUGAGACACGGCCCAGACUCCUACGGGAGGCAGCAGUGGGGAAUCUUGCGCAAUGGGCGAAAGCCUGACGCAGCCAUGCCGCGUGAAUGAUGAAGGUCUUAGGAUUGUAAAAUUCUUUCACCGGGGACGUUAAUGACGGUACCCGGAGAAGAAGCCCCGGCUAACUUCGUG